UAAUACGGAGGAUCCAAGCGUUAUCCGGAUUUAUUGGGUUUAAAGGGUGCGUAGGCGGAUUAAUAAGUCAGUGGUGAAAGCCUGCAGCUUAACUGUAGAAUUGCCAUUGAUACUGUUAGUCUUGAGUCCAGUUGAGGUGGGCGGAAUGUGUCAUGUAGCGGUGAAAUGCUUAGAUAUGACACAGAACACCGAUUGCGAAGGCAGCUCGCUAAACUGGUACUGACGCUGAGGCACGAAAGCGUGGGUAGCAAACAGGAUUAGAUACCCUGGUAGUCCACGCCCUAAACGAUGAUUACUCGAUGUGUGCGAUAUACUGUACGCGUCUAAGCGAAAGCAUUAAGUAAUCCACCUGGGGAGUACGGUCGCAAGAUUG
RNAcentral lists this ribosomal RNA (373 nucleotides) under uncultured bacterium. RNAcentral's name for it is "bacterial SSU rRNA". It matches the Rfam family "Bacterial small subunit ribosomal RNA", at positions 521 to 896 of the family's 1533-position model. The record is from RNAcentral.